GAGCUAGCUUCAACAGCAUACAUACUAAAAUUGAAACAAUACAGAGAAGAAUAGCAUGGCCCCUGCGCAAGGAUGACACGCAAAUUUGUGAAGUGCUCCAUAUUUUU
Molecule: small nuclear RNA, 107 nt
Filed under: Jaculus jaculus (lesser Egyptian jerboa)
Lineage: Eukaryota; Metazoa; Chordata; Mammalia; Rodentia; Dipodidae
Source: RNAcentral